CCUCUCUUAUGGUCAUUGAAUGACGUAUUACUAAUACAUUUUGUUUCUCUAUCAAUAAGCUUUCACGUAGUGUAUAAAGUUUUCUUUUAUAAGGGGCUGACAGGUCGCAUCAGUCCAUUCCAUUAUUCAGAGUAAGCUAUUAAUAAAACCAUAUAAUGUUCACCCGUAUUUCGAUUUUUUAGGUCCUUCAUUACUCCUCUGAUAUACGCUACAUUGAAAACCUGUUGGUGACCUUCGGCUGUUGUGUUUUCUAUGGUCGGGUUGUUUGACACAUUCCCC
RNAcentral lists this long non-coding RNA (279 nucleotides) under Mytilus galloprovincialis (Mediterranean mussel). Lineage: Eukaryota; Metazoa; Mollusca; Bivalvia; Mytilida; Mytilidae. The record is from RNAcentral.